This 76-nucleotide transfer RNA is filed under the name Candidatus Peregrinibacteria bacterium. Its description in RNAcentral is "tRNA-Ala". It matches the Rfam family "tRNA". From Rfam's summary of the family: Transfer RNA (tRNA) molecules are approximately 80 nucleotides in length. Their secondary structure includes four short double-helical elements and three loops (D, anti-codon, and T loops). Further hydrogen bonds mediate the characteristic L-shaped molecular structure. tRNAs have two regions of fundamental functional importance: the anti-codon, which is responsible for specific mRNA codon recognition, and the 3' end, to which the tRNAs corresponding amino acid is attached (by aminoacyl-tRNA synthetases). tRNAs cope with the degeneracy of the genetic code in two manners: having more than one tRNA (with a specific anti-codon) for a particular amino acid; and 'wobble' base-pairing, i.e. permitting non-standard base-pairing at the 3rd anti-codon position. Lineage: Bacteria; Candidatus Peregrinibacteriota. The record is from RNAcentral.
GGGGCUGUAGCUCAGUUGAUAGAGCGCUACAUUCGCAUUGUAGAGGUCAGGGGUUUAAGUCCCCUCAGCUCCACCA